UGCGUAGGCGGGCUAAUAAGUCAGUGGUGAAAUCUCUCGGCUCAACCGGGAAACUGACAUUGAUACUGUUAGUCUUGAGUUCGGUUGAGGUAGGCGGAAUGUGUAAUGUAGCGGUGAAAUGCUUAGAUAUUACACAGAACACCAAUUGCGUAGGCAGCUUACUAGACCGACACUGACGCUGAGGCACGAAAGCGUGGGGAGCGAACAGGAUUAGAUACCCUGGUAGUCC
This 229-nucleotide ribosomal RNA is filed under the name uncultured bacterium. Its description in RNAcentral is "partial 16S ribosomal RNA". It matches the Rfam family "Bacterial small subunit ribosomal RNA", at positions 568 to 796 of the family's 1533-position model. The record is from RNAcentral.